GAUGAACGCUAGCGGCAGGCUUAACACAUGCAAGUCGAGGGGUAACAGGGAAGAGCUUGCUUUUCUGCUGACGACCGGCGCACGGGUGCGUAACGCGUAUAGAACCUACCUUUUACAGGGGAAUAGCCCAGAGAAAUUUGGAUUAAUGCCCCAUAGUAUUAUUGAAUGGCAUCAUUUAAUAAUUAAACAUUUAUGGGUAAAAGAUGGCUAUGCGUUCUAUUAGCUAGAUGGUAAGGUAACGGCUUACCAUGGCAACGAUAGAUAGGGGUCCUGAGAGGGAGAUCCCCCACACUGGUACUGAGACACGGACCAGACUCCUACGGGAGGCAGCAGUGAGGAAUAUUGGACAAUGGAGGCAACUCUGAUCCAGCCAUGCCGCGUGCAGGAAGACGGUCCUAUGGAUUGUAAACUGCUUUUAUAUAGGAAGAAACCUUUCCACGUGUGGAAAGCUGACGGUACUAUAAGAAUAAGCACCGGCUAACUCCGUGCCAGCAGCCGCGGUAAUACGGAGGGUGCAAGCGUUAUCCGGAAUCAUUGGGUUUAAAGGGUCCGUAGGCGGACUAAUAAGUCAGGGGUGAAAUCCAACAGCUUAACUGUUGAACUGCCUUUGAUACUGUUAGUCUUGAGUUAUAUGGAAGUAGAUAGAAUAUGUAGUGUAGCGGU
RNAcentral lists this ribosomal RNA (663 nucleotides) under Lutibacter sp. RNAcentral's name for it is "bacterial SSU rRNA". It matches the Rfam family "Bacterial small subunit ribosomal RNA", at positions 28 to 682 of the family's 1533-position model. Lineage: Bacteria; Pseudomonadati; Bacteroidota; Flavobacteriia; Flavobacteriales; Flavobacteriaceae. The record is from RNAcentral.